AAGUCGUAACAAGGUUUCCGUAGGUGAACCUGCGGAAGGAUCAUUAUUGAAUAUUCUUGAUAGGUUGUAGCUGGCUCUUUGGAGUAUGUGCACGCUUAUCUUGACUUUAUUCGUCCACCUGUGCACCUUUUGUAGUCUUGGGGAUUGAGAGCAGUCGACUAUCGGGAUGGCCGGCGGUCAUUCCGGAUUUGAGGAAUGCUGAGUGCAAAAGGCAUACAGCUCUUCUCUAAUGACUGUCCCUCGAGUACUAUGUAUUCAUAUACCACAUAGUAUGUUGUAGAAUGUGAUGAAUGGGUCUAUGUACCUAUAAUAAUCAUAUACAACUUUCAGCAACGGAUCUCUUGGCUCUC
This 350-nucleotide unclassified non-coding RNA is filed under the name Lycoperdon sp. RNAcentral describes it as "partial internal transcribed spacer region". The stretch from base 1 to 46 matches the Rfam family "Eukaryotic small subunit ribosomal RNA", at positions 1786 to 1831 of the family's 1831-position model. The record is from RNAcentral. Lineage: Eukaryota; Fungi; Basidiomycota; Agaricomycetes; Agaricales; Lycoperdaceae.